GAUGAACGCUGGCGGCGUGCCUAAUACAUGCAAGUCGAGCGAACAGAUGAGGAGCUUGCUCCUCUGACGUUAGCGGCGGACGGGUGAGUAACACGUGGAUAACCUACCUAUAAGACUGGGAUAACUUCGGGAAACCGGAGCUAAUACCGGAUAAUAUAUUGAACCGCACGGUUCAAUAGUGAAAGACGGUUUUGCUGUCACUUACAGAUGGAUCCGCGCCGCAUUAGCUAGUUGGUAAGGUAACGGCUUACCAAGGCAACGAUGCGUAGCCGACCUGAGAGGGUGAUCGGCCACACUGGAACUGAGACACGGUCCAGACUCCUACGGGAGGCAGCAGUAGGGAAUCUUCCGCAAUGGGCGAAAGCCUGACGGAGCAACGCCGCGUGAGUGAUGAAGGUCUUCGGAUCGUAAAACUCUGUUAUUAGGGAAGAACAAAUGUGUAAGUAACUAUGCACGUCUUGACGGUACCUAAUCAGAAAGCCACGGCUAACUACGUG
RNAcentral lists this ribosomal RNA (497 nucleotides) under uncultured bacterium. RNAcentral's name for it is "partial 16S ribosomal RNA". It matches the Rfam family "Bacterial small subunit ribosomal RNA", at positions 28 to 507 of the family's 1533-position model. The record is from RNAcentral.